This 96-nucleotide ribosomal RNA is filed under the name Salmonella enterica. Its description in RNAcentral is "partial 23S ribosomal RNA". It matches the Rfam family "Bacterial large subunit ribosomal RNA", at positions 1 to 96 of the family's 2925-position model. The record is from RNAcentral. Lineage: Bacteria; Pseudomonadati; Pseudomonadota; Gammaproteobacteria; Enterobacterales; Enterobacteriaceae.
GGUUAAGCGACUAAGCGUACACGGUGGAUGCCCUGGCAGUCAGAGGCGAUGAAGGGCGUGCUAAUCUGCGAUAAGCGCCGGUAAGGUGAUAUGAUG